CAGGAACUCCUUAUGGAAUGGAAGCACAUCCAGGCUGAAGGCCCCUGUGUUCCAGAUGCUGUGUGAGUGUUGACCUGCCAGGCGACUCCACGAUGGCUUCCGUCCUCAGGUUCACCAUCAACUAAGACAGACUGAAGAUUUCCAGAGACUUGGACCACUGCUCCCUAGUUCCAGGGGGUGGCACAGGAGCCAAAAACGAGACCUGAGGCUGAAGCCCAACAGAAGAUGAAACUUGGGAGCAGCCUCAGCUUCGGGAAUCCUCACUUCCUGGCACAGCAGGUUUGGGUGCCACAGAGCCCAGGGCUAGACACCUGCCAGCAGUCCAUCAGUCACAGUCUCAGAUGAGUGGCAUCAAGGUGGAGCCCACUGAGGUGAAGGAAGGAGCUGUGAGGGACACCUGCAUCCUGCUGCAGAAAUGUCUGCCCCCCGCCUUGUCCCACCGCAGCUCUAUCUCACAGUUGGAGAAGCAGAAGCAAAGCAACCUGUCCUGGACCAUGCAGCCUGGUCCUCUGUUUCCAGAGCCAGAGGUCUUUGUGCUCUGAAACAAAGACAGUGACCCCAUUAACCCACUGGCACUUACUGUGUGCCAGGCACUCAGCCUGUGUUGUCUCAUUGCAGCACAGAGCAGCCCUGGGAAUGGAAGCAGUGUCAUCAUUCCCAUUUUUCAGGUGAGGCACAGGCUCAGAAAGGUCAAGAAACUUGCUCACGGUCUCACAGCUGGUGAGUAGGUUGUCAGACUCCAAAGAUGUGUGCUGCUAACCCUGCCCAAAGGGACUUCAUCCUCCUCCCUCCUUCCCAGGCAGUUCUCCCAACCACCCACCAACAGGCAACGUAGGUGUGAUUGCCUUCAAAGUUUUCUACUUGCCUUCAAGCUUGAAGCACUGGAGACUGAGGGAAGAGAGCACUGGAAGUGGAGGAAGAAAAAAGAGCUGUUCCCUCCAAGGUUGUUCCCUUGGGCCUGACUCGACUGGAAGAAGCAGGGUGUAUAUGUGUGUGUGUGUGUAAUUGACUUUGUGACCAUGAAACUGAGUUAAUACUCUUCUGUCUUUGCCUGUUUCUUCUUGUACAUCACCUAGAGGAAUACCCAUUAAUGUUUAGAGGCAGAGAACAAUAGAAAAUAGCACUGUUCAAGGACCAAAAAUUUAAAAAGACUGCUGACAUACAGCAUAGAAUGUGAAAGUCCCUGAUAAUCUUAUCCCUAGGGAUAACCACUUGCCAUUUUUUUACAAUUUCAAUUUUUUAUGAUUAUAAAAGUCAUACACAUUUAAAAAUACUUCAAAAUAAAUACAAAAUAAAAAUAAAUGCUUCAUUGCUUAGGUUACCUUGGUACAUGCAAGGUCUGAGACCACAUCCAUCAAUGCAGUUUGCUGCGUGGAUUACCAGAUCUCUCCAACAUUGACCUCAAUUUUUUACUCUGAGAGCAAACAGAAUGGGCAAGGGCUGACCUGAAAUCCUUUUGAAACACAAGCUGGAUCCUAGGGCUUUGACCUCCACUGCUCACUGCCACAUGGGAUCCGUCUCUGUGCCCCACUCUGCCCCAGCCCCACUGGCCUUCCUGCUGCUGCUCACACAGGCCUACUCUUAAGGCCUUUGCAUACUCUGUUCCCUGCAGAGGCCUCUGCCUCUGAACAAAUGUGGGACCCAUCUCUGCCAAGGCUGGGAAGCAAACAGCCCCCACUUUGCCUUGUCAGCCUGUGUUUGCACCAUUCCUGUGGUGGCCUCUCCCAGCUGCUUUCACGUGGGAUUUGAGCUCUGGGAAGCUGGAAGUUUGUGGAGUCCACUUCCCUCAUUUUGCAUAUAUGGAUGAUAAAGCCCACAGGCAAGGGCUCUGACAAAAGGAAAGAUUCCUUCCAUUUGGCAUUGUGAUGCAGAGGCUGUCACAGACAAGCCUGGGAAUUUGGGAUACAUCUUGCUGAGCCUAGAGACAGAAAAGAGCUUCUAGGCUGCCUUCCCUGAGCCCCGGGCCAGGCCCCUCCAGGACACACUUGCAUGGCACCCUGUUCUUUAAAACACUGCACACCAACGACUAUGCAAAGGAUUAACUGACUUCUCAAUAUUCUUGUUUUCUACCGAGUGAUAAGCUUCAGAAGGACAAGGUAUGAGUCCGUUUUGCUCUUUUGCCUUCCCCAGCACAUGGCACAAUGCCCAGCACAUAGUGUUUUGAGAGACAGCUGACUGGCUGUCUCAUACAAGGCCCUGCUCUGUUGGGCACAAGGGCUGCUUAACACAUUCCUAUGCUACAAAAGACAGUGCUCCUCUCCAGGAACCACCAAAUAAAUUCAGAUACUAAUGCCAAAAAGAAGGCAGCAUCAGCUUGGGAAAAGAGUGCCUUUAAGGCACUGUUUCUCUCUAUGAAGGCAGUGUGGAAUGAUAGGGAUGAUCUAGGACCUAGAGGAGAGACCUUAAGUCUUACUUGCAGCCAAAAGCCUUCAAACCUGAGCUAGCCAGAACUGUUACAUCAGAAUUCUCACCCAUGACAAGAAGCCUGGAGGGAGUCCAGGGUUGAUGGAUUGACUUAAGGUGUCAUCAAAAGCUUAGACUUUACCCUUCUGCUGCACCACCCUUAUUGCCUUGUUGUCACAAGAGGACUACUGCUGUUCAAGUCAUCACUUCCACAUUCCAGAAGGAAGAAAGGAGAGGUAGAGGGCCAGAAGUAUCCCCUCCUUUUAUCAGGAGCCAUUAACUUUCCCAGAAACUUCCAUGUCCACCCAGCAGACCUCCACUUACAUCUCACUAGGCAGAACUCCUAUCACUUGGCCACCCCAGCAGUCAGGGAAGCUGGAAGGGUGAGCAUUCAGCUAUAGAGAGUGGAAGCACAAGCAGCAAGGGAAGAACAGGUCAGUAAUUGCUGUAGAGUUUCCUGCCCAGCAGCAUCUGCCAAAACUAGGUAAAUUAUUUUUUAACAUAAUAGUAUUUUUGUGGAUUUUCUUACAAAAGCAAUGCAUAUAUAUUGUUACUUUGAAAAAUAAAGAUUUUAAAUCUUCAACAAGCCCAUUACUCAGGAGUGAUGACUGUUAUUCUUGGUUUAUUAGCUUUCUAGAUCUUUGUAUUUUUUUUAACGUGGGUAGAACCACAAUAUGGGUUGCUCUGAAAUUAGCCUUUACACUUGGCAUUGUGAAAAAUCUUUCCAAAUCAUUAAAUGUUCUCUGCAGAAUUA
RNAcentral lists this long non-coding RNA (3157 nucleotides) under Homo sapiens (human). Its description in RNAcentral is "HSALNT0311514". The record is from RNAcentral. Lineage: Eukaryota; Metazoa; Chordata; Mammalia; Primates; Hominidae.